UACGUAGGGUGCGAGCGUUGUCCGGAAUUACUGGGCGUAAAGGGCUCGUAGGCGGUUUGUCGCGUCGGGAGUGAAAACACGGGGCUUAACCCCGUGCCUGCUUCCGAUACGGGCAGACUAGAGGUAUGCAGGGGAGAACGGAAUUCCUGGUGUAGCGGUGAAAUGCGCAGAUAUCAGGAGGAACACCGGUGGCGAAGGCGGGUCUCUGGGCCGAUACUGACGCUGAGGAGCGAAAGCGUGGGGAGCGAACAGG
This 253-nucleotide ribosomal RNA is filed under the name uncultured bacterium. RNAcentral's name for it is "partial 16S ribosomal RNA". It matches the Rfam family "Bacterial small subunit ribosomal RNA", at positions 524 to 776 of the family's 1533-position model. The record is from RNAcentral.